GAUGAAGAACGUAGCGAAAUGCGAUAAGUAAUGUGAAUUGCAGAAUUCAGUGAAUCAUCGAAUCUUUGAACGCACAUUGCGCCCGUCAGUAUUCUGGCGGGCAUGCCUGUUCGAGCGUCAUUACGCCCCUCAAGUCCCCUGUGGACUUGGUGUUGGGGAUUGGCGAGGCUGGUUUUCCAGCACAGCCGUCCCUUAAAUUAAUUGGCGGUCUCGCCGUGGCCCUCCUCUGCGCAGUAGUAAAACACUCGCAACAGGAGCCCGGCGCGGUCCACUGCCGUAAAACCCCCCAACUUUUUAUAGUUGACCUCGAAUCAGGUAGGACUACCCGCUGAACUUAAGCAUAUCAAUAAGCGGAGGA
This 358-nucleotide unclassified non-coding RNA is filed under the name soil metagenome. RNAcentral describes it as "partial contains 5.8S ribosomal RNA, internal transcribed spacer 2, and large subunit ribosomal RNA". The stretch from base 1 to 120 matches the Rfam family "5.8S ribosomal RNA", at positions 35 to 154 of the family's 154-position model. The record is from RNAcentral.